Vanessa tameamea is the source of this 351-nucleotide long non-coding RNA. RefSeq lists it as uncharacterized. The transcript has 2 exons. Lineage: Eukaryota; Metazoa; Arthropoda; Insecta; Lepidoptera; Nymphalidae. The record is from RefSeq and is a predicted model, not a curated record.
GAAAUCUAAAUAAUACAAUACAGAUAUCGUCUCGCAAAUUUUACGCAUAUUUAUUUCUAUUUCGGUCUAUUUGUUUUCAAUGUUUCUCGUGCCGGUGAGUCGAAUAUCGUUAUUAACUAAAGGUGAUUGAUAUCGUUUACUAGAGUCAUAAAGUGCGCAAACGAAAUGAAUUUAUACCCUUUUAACUUUCUUAUCGUGUUAUUAGUAUUUAUGAAUGUUGGAUUUAAAGAUGUUGAAACUGAAGGAGUAAAAACAUGUCACUAUCGUUAUUCAUUAAACUGUGCAAAAUUUUGCCAAAUCAAAGGAACAGGCGCUAGUAACUGCUGGCCUGGAUUAUGUAGCUGUAAAUCA